RNAcentral lists this ribosomal RNA (253 nucleotides) under uncultured bacterium. RNAcentral's name for it is "partial 16S ribosomal RNA". It matches the Rfam family "Bacterial small subunit ribosomal RNA", at positions 524 to 776 of the family's 1533-position model. The record is from RNAcentral.
UACGUAGGCAGCAAGCGUUGUUCGGACUUACUGGGCGUAAAGGGUGCGUAGGCGGUGCUCUAAGUUUGGUGUGAAAUCUCCCGGCUUAACUGGGAGGGUGCGCCGAAAACUGGAGCGCUUGAGUGCGGGAGAGGAAAGCGGAAUUCCUGGUGUAGCGGUGAAAUGCGUAGAGAUCAGGAGGAACACCUGCGGUGUAGACGGCUUUCUGGACCGUAACUGACGCUGAGGCACGAAAUCGUGGGUAGCAAAUAGG